CCCGACCGCCCGCCCCGACGCCGGCGUUACUCCAGAAUACUGGCGUUCUCCCUGGCGGUCCCACUGAACCAGGUUGAGAAGUGGAACAAGCAGAGGAAGAAUGUGACAUUGGCAGGGUCCCUCGAAAUCGUCUGUUUGAGAGUCUCGGUUGCUUUUGUGUCUGCGCUACUGCUGUCUUAUGGUUGGAAUUUAUGCUCCUGUCAUGUACUCUCUUCCAACAAUAUGUUUUGUACGGAGGGGGAUUUGAGGGAUGUGUGGCUGGAGGGGGAUUUGAGGUUUCAAGGGGAUUGGGUGAAAGAGGGGGAUUCACCAAAUCCCCUGGAAUCCUCUCCUCCCAAAACCUCCACAAUCCCUUGCUGUCAAACAAGGCCUAAGGAAAACUGGAGGAUACACCCGGAUUGGGUUCAGAGGUUUAAAUGGGCUAGGCUUUUACCUUUUGCGCGUCUGGUUGGGGCCACUGAUACCUCUACAUGCCUUGGCAUUGACGCCUCUUUGCUCACCUGCUUAGUGGACUGAUGGAGGCCCGAGAUCCACACGUUUCACUUCCGUUGGGGAGAGAUGGCUCAUAAUUUGUAGGAUGUGUCACUUUUGUUGGGACCACUAUUCAAAAUAUCGGUCGAUUAUCGCUUAUCGGGGUCUGAUUGAUAAGAUAAGUGAAUAUCACUGGUAUUUAUCGGUCUAACCAAUAUAUCGAUCAUACAAUCGAUAUAUCACCGAUAUUCUCCGACAUUUGCCAAUAUUGACAAGUAAAUCUAUGGGACCCAACUGAUUUAGCUCCCGAUUUUUUUAUUUUGGUUGAGUUUUUGUGGUCUUGAUGCCUCCUAUUUGUGUAGAUGGCUACUUUCAAUACAUCCCAGGUCGUUUAAGAGGAAUACGGAUGACAUGGCUUACAAGUUUGCCAUGUUGAUUGAUCCAGAUGAUACAGAAAGCUGAGAUUUUUAAAAAACCUUGCCAAUAAAUAGUCUACCGAUAAAAUUGAUAAAUUGGCCGAUAAGUCGAUUUAUCUCUUAUCUUGGGUUGAUCGAUAAGUUGAAGCGGUAUCCUGAACAUUGGGUUGGACUACCGUUGGCGGUUCCUGCCAUUGGACCAUUCGAGGCACCAGCUCCUUGGGAGCAGGAAAUUGCACAACAUUUCCAGGGUGUUUAUGAGGGUGCUCCGACCUUUGCCUCGGAGCCUCACGGACCGCUUGAUUGGUUGCUUCAUUUUCGGAUACAGAAGUUUCCGGCUAUCCACAAUUCCCCUUGAAUGCGACAUAGAUCACUCGGAGCCUGGAGGCAUACCUACCGUGGCUUCUCGGGAAGGUGAUGUUUACAGAGAACCAUGUCACUAGUAUUAGUGCAUGCUACAUCCCUAUUGCACCGGAGAUCGCGAGAGCUGAGUUGCUGGACCAGAUCACACAGAGGAGUUGGGGUUUUGUGGUUUUAGUGGUUACAUACCGAGGUAUGUGCAACGGUUGCCAACUUGUGUUGCAGAAGGCAGCUCUUCUUGGAUGCCCUCUAUUUUUACAGUUGUGGUCGUGGGGAGAGGUUCUCUAUAGGACAACCCAACAUACAUGUUGAAGAGGGUUGGCCUGUGGGGGAGCUUUUCGAUGCUGACCACAAUGACAUGCCUACUUUCGGUAUGUGCUGGACAUGUUGCAAGGUAUGUCUGAUCUUAUAAUUUUUUGCAUUUCCCCAUGUACACUAUGGUUGAAACUAACUUUUGUUUUGCGAAGAGAUGCUUUGCUAGUGAUCAGACUAGGUGAGCCUACAUGGCACUAAACAAGCAGUUCGAUUUAUACACUAGGGUGAUCUGGCAGCCGUACACGCAAGCAGCCAUAGAUGCAAGAUACCCCAACGGUAUUUCUGAGCUAUGCACAAGGGAUCAGGAUUACUGGAUGGCAAAAUCGAAGAUCAUCUUCGAUGUCUUCGUCGAGGGCAUGGCCCAACAGAGGGUUAUGAGGCAAUUUGGUCUUCGACAGUUGGUCUAGCCUUCGCCUACAGAGGCUCCGCUGCCACCAGUAGUCCACAUGUAUUGUCUACUUAUUCUAUGUUGGAUUUUCUUUCACAAUUGACCAUAGUGAAGCAUUACUUAAUUGUUGAACACACACCACAAUUUUAGGAUCACAAGGAAGGGGGUCAGCAGGACACAGACUCAGUGGCUGGAGAAGUGAUACGUCUCCGUCGUAUCUAUAAUUUUUUAUUGUUCCAUGCCAAUAUUAUACAACUUUCACAUACUUUUGGCAACAAUUAUAUGAUUUAUCGGACUAACAUAUU
Long non-coding RNA from Triticum aestivum (bread wheat), 2255 nucleotides. RefSeq lists it as uncharacterized. Lineage: Eukaryota; Viridiplantae; Streptophyta; Magnoliopsida; Poales; Poaceae. The record is from RefSeq and is a predicted model, not a curated record. The transcript is spliced from 5 exons.